Molecule: transfer RNA, 76 nt
Filed under: Escherichia coli
Lineage: Bacteria; Pseudomonadati; Pseudomonadota; Gammaproteobacteria; Enterobacterales; Enterobacteriaceae
Also listed under: 1 other name
Description: tRNA-Phe
Rfam family: tRNA
About the family: Transfer RNA (tRNA) molecules are approximately 80 nucleotides in length. Their secondary structure includes four short double-helical elements and three loops (D, anti-codon, and T loops).
Source: RNAcentral
GCCCGGAUAGCUCAGUCGGUAGAGCAGGGGAUUGAAAAUCCCCGUGUCCUUGGCUCGAUUCCGAGUCCGGGCACCA